RNAcentral lists this long non-coding RNA (1162 nucleotides) under Homo sapiens (human). Its description in RNAcentral is "HSALNT0367942". The record is from RNAcentral. Lineage: Eukaryota; Metazoa; Chordata; Mammalia; Primates; Hominidae.
CUGCGAUCCACCUACCUUGGCCUUCCAAAGUGCUGGGAUUACAGGCGUGAGCCACCAUGCCCAGCCGCUUCAUCUUUCUUUACUCAUGAAUGUCCUAAGCUUUGUAUUCACAGCUGUUCUCAUGCAUUCAUUCCAUGCCGGCCUUAGAGGACUCGGUCAAGACAAUGGUGCCCUCAGGAAGGUUACGAGAGAGCAAGCUGUGCUGCUUUGCCCAUCUUGGGAUGAGAAUCCUGCCUGAGCCCUGCUAUAAAAAUAACCUGCCUGGAAACCUCAUCUCCAAGGGGUAGAAAGAAGCUUUUGUAUCCAGGGAAGCUGCUCUAACUGCCUCCCUGUACCUUCGCCUCAGCCCAUGCAUCAAGGAGGAGCCAGCCAAGGCCAGACCUAUCUCUCCUUGGAGACUGCACAAGCAGGUGAGCAUUAAAGGAAGGCGGGAGGCCAAUUUUUGCCCAGCAUUAGGAAGAACAUUGCUAUUGUUCCAGCAAUGAAGUGAGCUGCCUGAGAGAGUCCGAGCUCUCUGUGGCUGCGAGGCCAGCAGGCCAGGACUUGCAGAGACCACUGGUGCCUAUAGGAGGCACAUGCUGGGCUUGACAAAAGAAAGCCCAACAUUUUAUACCCCUUAAGUCAUCCCCAGCCCAUGCCUUGUUUCCCCAUCCGCACAGUGGUUGGAGCAAGACUAGAUGAAGGCUGAGGUCUUGUCUAGCUCUAACUUUCUAGAAUUCUGGAAUUCCUGAAGGCAGGACUCCAGGCCUCAGGGUCUGGCCAAGAGAACAGAGACGUGGCUGUUUGUCCAGCUUGGUAGAACAGUGGAGCUUAUUGAGCUUGCGGUUCCCUGAAACAGAACCAGUCAAAAGGCAUACGCAGAGAAGGUAAAUUCAUCUGUGGGUCUGGUGAGAGUCACUGAAAAAAAUGUAGUGCUUGAGGACUGUCCAAGGAGAGCCAAUUUUCAACUCAUAGCCUGUGAUGCUGCGCCCAAACAAUGAGAACAGCACACUGGGCUUCAUCCAACCACGGCCAGAGGGAAAACAGUGAUCUUGCAGAUGAUGUCCUCAUCGAUAGCACAGUGACCAAGCGGCCCUGCAUGGUGGGGGCCCCUUAAAAUGGUUCCCCUUCCCUUGCAGGCCUGGUCAGGUGGUGUUUGUAAAGCAAAGGGAACCCUUUUAGA